This 74-nucleotide transfer RNA is filed under the name Phrynosoma platyrhinos (Desert horned lizard). RNAcentral describes it as "tRNA-OTHER". Lineage: Eukaryota; Metazoa; Chordata; Lepidosauria; Squamata; Phrynosomatidae. The record is from RNAcentral.
GACCCAGUGUGGUGUAGUGGUUUGAGCGUUGGACUAGGAUUCUGGAGACCAGGGUUCAAUUCCCAGCUCGGCCA